Long non-coding RNA from Phyllostomus discolor (pale spear-nosed bat), 435 nucleotides. RefSeq lists it as uncharacterized. NCBI's taxonomy places the organism in Eukaryota, Metazoa, Chordata, Mammalia, Chiroptera, Phyllostomidae. The record is from RefSeq and is a predicted model, not a curated record. The transcript has 4 exons.
AGAAAUAUUCUAAGACAUGAAAAGCAAGGACCUACAGCCAAGAGUGCUCAACCCAGCAAACAUAUCAUUUAGAAUCGAAGGCAGAUAAAGAGCUUCCCAGACAAGCAAAACCUAAACUAGUUCAUCAUCAUGAAACCAUUACUAUAUGAAAUGUUAAAGGGACUUACUUAAGAAAAAGAUUGCUGGAUUGGAGGGGGAUAUGGGGGUAAGGGUAAAAAGGUGAGGGGAUUAAGAAGUACAAAUUGGUAGUUACAGAACAGCCAUGGGGAUGUAAAGUACAGUAUAGGAAACGGAGUAGCCAAAGAACUUACACACAUCAGCCAUGGACAUGAACAAUGGUGUGGAAAUUGCCUGAGGGAUUGCAGGGUGCUAGAUUGAAGGGGGAAAAGGGGGUAAAACUGGGACAACUGUAAUAGCAUAAUUGAUAAAAUAUAA